This 180-nucleotide ribosomal RNA is filed under the name uncultured Glomeromycotina. Its description in RNAcentral is "partial small subunit ribosomal RNA". The stretch from base 91 to 180 matches the Rfam family "Eukaryotic small subunit ribosomal RNA", at positions 736 to 826 of the family's 1831-position model. The record is from RNAcentral. Lineage: Eukaryota; Fungi; Glomeromycota.
GGCCUGAUUGGGUGGUCUUGCCGCAAGGUAAGCACUGCUCUGGUCGGGUCUUUCCUUCUGGGGAAUCAGUGUGCUCUUUAUUGAGUGCGCUGGGGAUCCAGGACUUUUACUUUGAAAAAAUUAGAGUGUUCAAAGCAGGCAUUUUUGCUUGAAUACAUUAGCAUGGAAUAAUAAAAUAGG